UUUUUUUUUUUCUUAAACCUCAUAGUAUCUGGCACAAGUUAAGCCAUCAAAAUAAAUCCACCAGCUAGAAUCUCAAGUGAAGAGAAUACUGACCUGAAACCUGUCCACCUCCAAGGUUAUGUUGAGCAGCUGCCUCCAAGUCAGAGAGAGAGAGAGAGAGGCAGAGACACAGGCAGAGGGAGAAGCAGGCUCCAUGCACCGGGAGCCCGACGUGGGAUUCGAUCCCGGGUCUCCAGGAUCGCGCCCUGGGCCAAAGGCAGGCGCCAAACCGCUGCGCCACCCAGGGAUCCCUGAUGACCUUUUUAGAUGAAAGCUCCUUACAAUGAGUUCUAAAAACCUCAAAAUUGUUAGGCUGUGGUAGGAUUUUGUUAUAAAGAAAAUC
This is a long non-coding RNA of Canis lupus familiaris (dog), 382 nucleotides long. RefSeq lists it as uncharacterized. The record is from RefSeq and is a predicted model, not a curated record. The transcript is spliced from 3 exons. Lineage: Eukaryota; Metazoa; Chordata; Mammalia; Carnivora; Canidae.